Molecule: ribosomal RNA, 253 nt
Filed under: uncultured bacterium
Lineage: Bacteria
Description: partial 16S ribosomal RNA
Rfam family: Bacterial small subunit ribosomal RNA
Source: RNAcentral
UACGUAGGGGGCAAGCGUUGUCCGGAUUUAUUGGGCGUAAAGAGCGUGUAGGCGGCUUUGCAAGUCCGUUGUGAAAACUCGAGGCUCAACCUCGAGACGCCGGUGGAAACUGCAAAGCUAGAGUCCGGAAGAGGAGAGUGGAAUUCCAGGUGUAGCGGUGAAAUGCGUAGAUAUCUGGAGGAACACCGGUGGCGAAGGCGGCAUCCUGGACCGAUACUGACGCUGAGGAGCGAAAGCCAGGGGAGCAAACGGG